Molecule: ribosomal RNA, 490 nt
Filed under: uncultured bacterium
Lineage: Bacteria
Description: partial 16S ribosomal RNA
Rfam family: Bacterial small subunit ribosomal RNA
Source: RNAcentral
AUUGAACGCUGGCGGCAGGCCUAACACAUGCAAGUCGAACGGUAACAGGAAGAAGCUUGCUUCUUUGCUGACGAGUGGCGGACGGGUGAGUAAUGUCUGGGAAACUGCCUGAUGGAGGGGGAUAACUACUGGAAACGGUAGCUAAUACCGCAUAACGUCGCAAGACCAAAGAGGGGGACCUUCGGGCCUCUUGCCAUCGGAUGUGCCCAGAUGGGAUUAGCUAGUAGGUGGGGUAACGGCUCACCUAGGCGACGAUCCCUAGCUGGUCUGAGAGGAUGACCAGCCACACUGGAACUGAGACACGGUCCAGACUCCUACGGGAGGCAGCAGCGGGGAAUAUUGCACAAUGGGCGCAAGCCUGAUGCAGCCAUGCCGCGUGUAUGAAGAAGGCCUUCGGGUUGUAAAGUACUUUCAGCAGGGAGGAAGGGAGUAAAGUUAAUACCUUUGCUCAUUGACGUUACCCGCAGAAGAAGCACCGGCUAACUCCGUG